Long non-coding RNA from Notolabrus celidotus (New Zealand spotty), 2649 nucleotides. RefSeq lists it as uncharacterized. The record is from RefSeq and is a predicted model, not a curated record. NCBI's taxonomy places the organism in Eukaryota, Metazoa, Chordata, Actinopteri, Labriformes, Labridae. The transcript is spliced from 4 exons.
AUCUAUCAGGAAGACGUUUCCCCGUCUGUUGCCAUAUCAAAGGUAACACGAUCACACUGCAGGAGGAGAUGAAUGCAGGUAGACGAGGAUUGAUGCUGUAGCGUCAUCGCCGUACUUUACUCAGUCUCCUAGCAACAGGAAACAUCAGCCUCCGCGAGGACCAAUGAGGGCGCGCGCGGAGAGGAGUGUGUUGUGUCUUGUUGCUGUGAACGAGAUAUUUUAGGAGGCUGGAGAGCAGAGAGUGUCUCACCCCGGAGGAGCGCAGAGGCUGUGUGUGUGUGUGUGUGUGUCUGCAGGAACCGAGGAGAGCUCUGACUUCACACCGAGCAGGAGCGUCGUUGAGUCGGUGUGAGGAGGGAGGAGGAUAUCCACGGAGAAAGAGGCUUUAGCUGGGAUUUACUGACCCUGCUGCUGCUGCUGCUGCUGCUGGACAGAAUCAUUCAAGGAGCCUGAGGGUGAUGUGGAGGCUCAGAUCAGCUCAGACACUCUGAUUCAAACUCCGGUCAUAGAGCUGAGCGCCGGCUGUGGAGCAUCAGCAGCAGAAGCCCCUUCACUCUAAGAGAGACCAAACCAUUCAACAACGUCGAAAGUUGCUUACUUCAAGAGGAAAUAUGCGGAGGAGGAGGAUUUACACGGAGGCCUACAUGGAUAUUUUCAAAAACACCUGAUACUGCAGGAGGACCGGGGCUGCAUCCUGAAGCUGUCCCUGGAGAAGCUGAGGUUCCUGGAGGACCCGGAGGCCUACCUGCGGCGCUCCGUCCUCAUCAACAACCUGCUUAGGAAGAUCCACCAUGAGGAGGAGGAGCUUGAGGCCGAAGAGGAGGAGGAGGAAGAAGAAGAAGAUGACAUAGAAAUGGAAGAAGAGGAGGAGGAGGAGGAUGUCAUAGGAGAGAGGGGGCAGCGGCGGCUGUUGUACCCGGACCGGAAGAGGGUGAAGGUGCUGGUGAUGGACUGCUGCUCUCCUGCGUUCAGUCUGGAGGAGCUGCAGCAUUACCGACUGGUGCCCUGUUACCCGUCAGCCGGGUGCCUGUUCAGCCUGGGUACCUGCCCGGGCCUCGCCCCAAACCACCAGGUCCUUCUAUACAACCUGGACGACAACGGGUGACUGUCCUGUCCUCACUGACAUGCCUCUUCUCACAAUUGGAGAAUGAACAUCAGCACUCGUUACAGGCAUGCAGACUUGUUACGUCCCUGUUAUUUCUCGAGGGACAGGUGUGGUAAGGGUCUGCUUUGCUCGUCGCUCGUGUGUAACCACCACUUGUCACGUUGCUGAGAUGCAGUGGUGGAUUCAGACUCUUAAAAACCCUGAUUUUUUUUUCUGGUCCAGGAUCAACAGGUUCUCUAAAGUUGAUGUCAAAUGCAAACUCUGUUGCAGCCUCACUGCCAUUUAUUAUAAAGUUAAAGAACCUGGAGCAGGCAGGAAUUUUUUGCUGUUGAUGUCGUGUUAUUGAUUUUCACUGUUUUUUUGUUGCUCAUGUGAAUCGUGAGCAUAUUCAGGGAUUUACAGACUGCAAGCUACUUUUGAUGCACCUUGGCUUGCGUGGAGAAUUUAUGCUGAUAAGCUUCUGUUAUCUUUUUAUGCUACUGUGUGAUUUAUGAAAUAUUCUGUGUAACAUUCCCUGGACUGUGUGAACUGUCAAACUAUCUUAAGACCUUACAUUCUCUGAAAGUUAUCAACUGCCUGUUUGAAGACUGUUUCUGUGUAUUUGAUGUCCUGUUCUCAUUUAACACACUGGUUAUUUCCAUUUUAUAUCACUUUGCUGCCCUCUGCUGGUGGAAGAAUUCACUCUGUGGUCAAAUUUGAUAAUGCAAGUGAAUGAGAAGAUAAGUCCGCUUAUUUCACAUUUACAGGCUGCAUAUGAAUAUUGACAAAUGGUUGGCAACACACUUUGAUGCAACUGUGUGAGGAUUGAAGCAUUGAUUAUAGUAUCUGUUUACAGCUAUGACUCCUCCUGUUGUCAUCCACAAAUAGCGGCUGGUGUAUAACGGAUGACAGACAAGAGACACAAAAGAUAUAAUGAUGUGAAAUAUGUUUUCAUAGGAGACAUCGAUGUUAAACUUAAAAUGACCUCAUAUUUACAAAUAACCAUAUCAUAACACAUUUGUUUACUGCUAUAACGCCACAUAGUAGUGGUUUAUGGAAAGGGUAAUAAUCUUUCUUUCUUGUUUUCCCUUUUUAGCUACAUAGUAAAAUAAAUAAUGUUUUAUUUUUGUGGUUUAAAAAGGGAAAUUAUCCUAUUUUCAUUCUCUUCGGCUAUAAAAGUUAAAGCCAAAUAAUUUGUUUAUUAAUUAGUUUCAGUGAUUUAUACCUUUAAAGCUGAAUUUCUGAGGGAAAAAAUGUCUUGAAAUUGGUCAUGUAUUCCUUUUGUUUCAUAUUUCUAUUUAUAAUUGCAACUGCCAUUAUAUCACAAGUACAAAGUACCUCUUAUAAAACUGACUCAUCUUGUUUAUGACCAGUUAAUUAAUGACUCAUGCUUUUUUUCCAUGUGUCUCUCACUGUGUUUAAUUGUUCAGUCUCUGUUCAGGAGCUCUAGCGGGUUUGAAAAUGUGCAUCUUGAUAACAAACACUAUGAUGUUAAACAACAACAACAACAACAACAACAACAUACUGCAGGCAACUAUUAAAGAGAAGUUUGAUAUUUUAAACAA